UACGUAGGAUGCGAGCGUUGUCCGGAAUUACUGGGCGUAAAGAGCGCGUAGGCGGCCCCGCGCGUGGGCUGUGAAAGCCCCCGGCUUACCCGGGGGAGGGCAGCCCAGACGGCGGGGCUGGAGGGCGGUAGGGGCUGGCGGAACGCCCGGAGUAGCGGUGAAAUGCGUUGAUAUCGGGCAGAACACCGGUGGCGAAGGCGGCCAGCUGGGCCGACCCUGACGCUGAGGCGCGAAAGCCAGGGGAGCGAACGG
This 252-nucleotide ribosomal RNA is filed under the name uncultured bacterium. Its description in RNAcentral is "partial 16S ribosomal RNA". It matches the Rfam family "Bacterial small subunit ribosomal RNA", at positions 524 to 775 of the family's 1533-position model. The record is from RNAcentral.